Molecule: non-coding RNA, 248 nt
Organism: Cinara cedri
Lineage: Eukaryota; Metazoa; Arthropoda; Insecta; Hemiptera; Aphididae
Source: the annotation of a GenBank genome assembly
AACAAUUCUGGAUGGAUUAUCAUUAGUAGUGUUUUUCUCCUGUUGUCAAAGUAACCUAGAAAUCAACAAAACUAGAAUAACAAGAAAAAUAUCUGAACAUAUGAACUGGAGGAAUUUCGAUAAAUGUUUUGAUUAAAAUACCACAGGGCAAAAAUUUCGCAUUUUUUAAGAUGUUGCAUGGGAUAAUUGGAGUAUUCACCUAACUAGUAAAGUGUUUUGAAAAAUUAAAAACCCGUACAAACAAUUGG